GUCUGCAGCUCCCGUUCAGUGCGCAGUGCAUCAGCAGAGCGCCAGCAGCUGGCUCAAAGGACGAACAGCAGGUUGCCAGACUGAGCCUCAGAGCUAUUUUAAACCGAUUUCUCUCGUUCAAAAAAACGGUGAUGUCAGCAGAGACUGGUCUACUUGUUGGAUGAAUCUCAUUCAUGUGGUAGUAAAGUCCUCUCUUUGCGAGGACGGAAGUUAAGUCACAUGCGCAUUGACGAGCUGGAGGGCUGCGUAAUGGAGAUCGUGGGAAAGGACAAUAAUUUGUGAACUGCGUACGGGAAUGCCAGGAGGGAAGCGUUGGUUUGAUACCCCGUGAGGGCACCCAGGUGGAUCAUCUGAGCAGCAAUGAAGACGCACCCAGCAGCGUCUGUUUCCAGCUUUAGCGCGCACGGACUAUGAAUGAGGAAUGACCAAUGCCUCUUCUUUGCAUCAGUCUCCUUGUUCUUGUGCUUCUACCACUGUCACUCUGCUGUGACAAAAACUUAUCGGCAUUUCAAGACCUUAGUAUGAUUUUACCAGCACAAAUGGAAAAUAUUAGGAAAAAUCUGACAAAGGAACUGAAAGACAUAUCCUGCCAAGAGCUGAAAAACAAAGUGCCAAACUGUACGGUGCAAACAGAGGAAGCUGAUAUUAUGGAAACCCUGUUCUUGCAAGCCUGUGAUAUGUUUCGUCUAAAACUACAACCGAUGAAAACAAUGGCUGAAGUUGUCCAGACGUCAUUAAAGCGCCACUGUCCUACAAAACACCCCAGGUUACACAGAGGGGCGACGCCAAGAAACCGAGCAGGGAAGAAGAUGAGAAAACUUUGCAAAGCUAAUGCAAUUCUGUCUUCCAUGACUGUGUGCUACGAGAAGCUGAACAUGCUAUGCAGGACAUGAGACCAAAACAAAAGAAAAGCUGCUGUCGGUCUCUCUGCACUGUGCUGUCGUUUCGGAUUAUGCAAGAAAAAGCUUCCAGUUAAUUCAAGCUUUCCUGUAAAGUAUCAGUGUAUCCGUCUUGCUGCUGCUUUGGGUGUUGCACGACUUCUGACUCUUGAGAUCAGUUUCCAAGCUAAACAGAAACAAGUCACAAGCCAAAUGAAACAGAACUGCUCUUCCAAGUCUGACAGACUGAACUUUCUCACGGUGUGUGAAGGAGGAGCCUUGAGCUUUAUGUUUCAGGUGCUGCAAAGAGGAACUUAUACAAAAGGCAUUUGAAAACAAUAAGACAGUGGUUUAAGAUGUGUUCAUUGAAUAACCUAUUUCAGAAGAUUAAGUUAAAAAGAAGCAUUGGUGUUUUUACUUUCGGGAAAACAACCUGGAAAUAUGGUGUUCAAAUGAAGUUUUGCUUUCACUUUGGAAAAGAAUGGCCUGACUAGUCCCAACAUAUUUUUGUUAUCUCUGUUAUCUGUAGCCGGUUGUUUUGGGCCAUUUCACGUCAUCAGCGCUGUCUUCAGUGACAAUGUGUUCAUUACCUGCUUGCAAUGAUUGAUAUAUUAAAAGCAUAUUUUACCACAGAUGGCUGAGUGCAGCUCAGAGGCCUUAUUACUUAUGUGGGAGACAUCGAAGAGGCCUUUCCCACAAGUUUAACUUGUGUUUAAUGAUACCUUUGUCAGUAAAAAAAAAAAGACAAGUCAUGCUCAACCAGCAGAUGUGUAGUAUUUGUAUGAGAAAUGUAAAAUAAUAAUAAUGUAGGAAUUCAGCCUUUGCUCUUUUUCUCUACUACUACUCUCAUUGCUUCUUUUUUUCAAAGGUACUUUAAUGUAGCAUUUUAACCAGAUGAAAGGUUCAUUUCUAAGUAUAUAUAUAUAUAUAUAUGUUGUAUAUGAGAUUUCAUUGGU
Cyprinodon variegatus (sheepshead minnow) is the source of this 1834-nucleotide long non-coding RNA. RefSeq lists it as uncharacterized. The record is from RefSeq and is a predicted model, not a curated record. The transcript has 5 exons. NCBI's taxonomy places the organism in Eukaryota, Metazoa, Chordata, Actinopteri, Cyprinodontiformes, Cyprinodontidae.